Molecule: ribosomal RNA, 1266 nt
Filed under: Odontolabis cuvera fallaciosa
Lineage: Eukaryota; Metazoa; Arthropoda; Insecta; Coleoptera; Lucanidae
Description: 16S ribosomal RNA
Rfam family: Archaeal large subunit ribosomal RNA (bases 832-1202)
Source: RNAcentral
AUGUAGAUUUUUUUAUUAUUAAGAAUUAUUAAAAGUAUUUAAUUGUUUGUGUUUUAUUUUGGUAUAAUUAUUUUAAUUAUAGUUUAUUGGUACAGUAAUGGGCUAAUUUAAUAUAUUUAUAAGAAUAUUUUAUUUGUGGUACCUUUUGUAUCAGGGUUGAUUUAAAGUGUAAUUUGUUUUAAUUAAUCCCGAAUUGUGAAGAGCUAAAAUUAUAUAUAUAUUAAUGUUGAAUAAUUAUUUGUAAUAUACUUUUUGUAAUUAUAUGUUAUUCGUUUUUCAAUAUAUCUGGUUUUUGAGGAAAUUAAUUUAAUUAAGCUGAAUUUUGAAUUUUUCUAUAUAUUUAGAUUUUAUUAAGAUUUAUGUAAUGUUUAAGGGGAUAAGCUUUUAAACAAAUUUAUAUAAUUAAAUAUUGUAUUGUUUGAUGUAGGAAUAGAAGUUUUCAUCUUUUGAAGUGUAUUAUUACUUGAUUUUAUAAUAUUUGAUUUUUGUUUUUUUAUAUUUUUUACUUAAAUUAUAAUUUGAAUUGUUUUUGUUUUGUAAUAAUGAUUGAAUUAGUAUAUUAAAUUGUUUUUAUAUUAUUGUUUGGUAGGUUAUCUAAAGGAAUUCGGCAAUUAAAUUUUCUGCCUGUUUAUUAAAAACAUGGCCUUUUGAUAAUAAUUUAAGGUCUGACCUGCUCUAUGAUUAAUUAAAUGGCUGCGGUAUUUUGACCGUGCAAAGGUAGCAUAAUCAUUAGUUUUUUAAUUGGAAGCUGGUAUGAAUGGUUGGACAAGAGAAUUACUGUCUCUGGAUAAUUUGGUUUGAAUUUUAUUUUUUAGUGAGAAAGCUUAAAUUUUUGUGAGGGACGAGAAGACCCUAUAGAAUUUUAUAGAUUAAUUUUGGUGGGGUUUUUAGGUUAAUUGGUUUAGUUUAAAUUAAUUUGUUUUGUUGGGGUGAUAGAAAAAUUUAUUUAACUUUUUUUUACUUUAUACAUUGAUAUAUGAGUAUAUGAUCCAUUAAUUAUGAUUAUAAGAUAAAAUUACCUUAGGGAUAACAGCGUUAUUAGUUUGGAGAGUUCUUAUCGAUAGACUAGAUUGCGACCUCGAUGUUGGAUUAAAAUUAAUUUUUGGUGUAGGGGCUAAAUAAUUAAGUCUGUUCGACUUAUAAUAUUUUACAUGAUCUGAGUUUAAACCGGCGUGAGCCAGGUUGGUUUCUAUCUUCAUAAAUUUAAGAUGUUUUAGUACGAAAGGACCAAAUAUUUGUUAUAUUAAUUUUUUGUUGAUUAAGGUU